CCUACGGGCGGCUGCAGUGGGGAAUAUUGCACAAUGGGGGAAACCCUGAUGCAGCGACGCCGCGUGAGUGAAGAAGUAUUUCGGUAUGUAAAGCUCUAUCAGCAGGGAAGAAAAUGACGGUACCUGAUUAAGAAGCCCCGGCUAACUACGUGCCAGCAGCCGCGGUAAUACGUAGGGGGCAAGCGUUAUCCGGAUUUACUGGGUGUAAAGGGAGCGUAGACGGCAGCACAAGUCUGGAGUGAAAUGCCGGGGCUUAACCCCGGAACUGCUUUGGAAACUGUGCAGCUAGAGUGCAGGAGAGGUAAGUGGAAUGCCUAGUGUAGCGGUGAAAUGCGUAGAUAUCAGGAGGAACACCGGUGGCGAAGGCGGCUUACUGGACAGUGACUGACGUUGAGGCUCGAAAGCGUGGGGAGCGAACAGGAUUAGAUACCCCUGUAGUC
This 440-nucleotide ribosomal RNA is filed under the name uncultured bacterium. Its description in RNAcentral is "partial 16S ribosomal RNA". It matches the Rfam family "Bacterial small subunit ribosomal RNA", at positions 338 to 795 of the family's 1533-position model. The record is from RNAcentral.